GACGAACGCUGGCGGCGUGCUUAACACAUGCAAGUCGAACGGAAAGGCCCCUUUGGUGGUACUCGAGUGGCGCACGGGUGAGUAACACGUGAGUAACCUGCCCUUGACUUCGGGAUAACUUCAGUAAACUGGGGCUAAUACCGGUUAGGAAUCCUUUCUUCAUGGUGGGGGUUGGAAAGCUUCUGCGGUUUUGUAUGUACUCGCGGCUUAUCAGCUUGUUUGUGGGGUAGUGGCUUACCAAGGCUUUGACGGGUAGCCGGACUGAGAGGGGGACCGGCCACAUUGGGACUGAGAUACGGCACAGACUCCUAAGGGAGGCAGCAGUGGGGAAUAUUGCACAAUGGGCGGAAGCCUGAUGCAGCAACGCCGCGUGCGGGAUGACGGGCUUCGGGUUGUAAACCGCUUUCAGCAGGGGCGAAGCUUGUGGUGACGGUACCUGCAGAAGAAGCACCGGCUAACUACGUG
RNAcentral lists this ribosomal RNA (465 nucleotides) under uncultured bacterium. Its description in RNAcentral is "partial 16S ribosomal RNA". It matches the Rfam family "Bacterial small subunit ribosomal RNA", at positions 28 to 507 of the family's 1533-position model. The record is from RNAcentral.